UAAAGGUUUUAUAAAACAGGCCUUGGUGUCUCUGUACUGUAUUAAAUCAUGAACAAGAAAUCAUAUUAAAUCGGACCUCUAUAAUCUAUUAAGCAUGUGUAAUUUCAUAGAGAUGUUCCAGCCAUGAAUGCAAGGUUUUUUGCCUCUGAUACAACCUUCUACAUCCCUAUUGCAAGUUACUGCAGUGAUUAAUGAGAAAAUUUCAAACAGGUCAUCUAUUUAAAACUCACAAGUCACAAUAUAUAGGUUAGAGAAACAGAAAGCAUGGUAAGCAACAAACUAGAAAGUACUUUAUAAUAAGCUGUCUGUUCUAGCUGGCAAUCUCUUGAAGAAGUUGCUGGGCACAGAAGGCAGCUUGCUUCGAAACCUAGGAUGUCGCAGAUGAUACAGACCAGCAACCAGAGCGACCGCUCGGAAUGGUGUUACAUAGAGAACAACAGCUGCGCAAAGACAGAACAUGAUAAAAAGACUGGUUGCUCUGGGGUCCCUCCAGCUGAGAAGGGACCCCAGCCUCUCCCCUUGUGUUGCAAUGUCACCCACUACUGUUUGUAUCCUGCCUGCAACACUUCUAAGCCUGUCAUACCUCAUUCGAACCAUAUCAUGGGGUUUGGAAGUUGGAAACGUGUCGAAUUCCUCAUCAAGUUCAUCAGGGUGCACUGCUUCUGCCCAAGACAGUUUUGUAUCCAUGUGAGGUGGAUGCCUUGGCCGGGACCUAUAGUUCCAUAUUCCAAUAAGGAACAUGUAGAGAAAGAGAGUUGGCAGGAUCAACUCUGGAUACCAUAUCAGUAUCAGAAACAGAAUAUGAACUAGAACUGAUGUGAUUGGAUUCUUCCAUUGGCAAAUACCAGCAAGCCAUCUGCUCAUGGAGAUCAUACCAGAGAGAAGUGACAUGAUUCUGAAGAAGUUUGCUUUGCUUCUUCGCAUGCUCCACAUGUGGGAAUCCACAUCUAACAUAUACUCCACCACUUCUUUUCUCAGGGGCGGUUCAGCUCGACCAAGCCUUGUUGCCACAAUACUCAUGGCUUGGUAUCUUAAAUUGUCAACUUGAUUCACUGUGAAGGGAUGCAGGUAAUGCAUUUUGGGCAGCAAAGGAUGCCCAUACACAUAUAUCAUGUUAGCAAGAGACAAGGUAGUGAAUCGAAUUGCGAGCUGCAGUUCACCCAUUUUCUUCACUCCAUUUGGGUGCAGGACAAGAAGUGGAUAUGAAUGUGUAUAAAUUCGAAAAGCUUCCAAGGUAGAUAGUCGUAUUCUCACCUUUCCGAUUCGUGCGUCUCUUGCUGCACUAGGAGCAUUUGGUUUCUCUCCUCCUCCCAAAUGGCAGUUAUCGAAAACUCCCAAUGUUAUAACUGUGCAGGGAUCAUAGACUUCCCAGGUGUAUUGCUCAUUCCAUUUCGGAUUGAAGGUGUCAAGAAUGGUUCUAGUCCGAACCCACUUCUGGCCAUACUUAGCUACACAAUAAGCAUCUGUGCUUCCCCUGCCAACCUUCAUCUUCAUCGGAAGAAGACCUUGUGCACUCAAGAUGCCUACUUCCAAUAUGCCAACAGGUUGUUUCCAUAGCUGCCUUGCUGUUGGCCUUUGAUCACUGAUGUACAUUGUUGAUUCAUCGAGGACAUGGUAUCCGCCUUCAAGACAAACUCUUAGGUGAAUCCUGCUUGCAAAUUUAAGUUCUUUUCUCCUGUCAGCUUCCAAGACACCGAAGCCAAAUUUCUCCAGAUUGAACCAUCGAGAAUGAACUGGUCUGUGAUCAAGCCUUUUCUCAAAAAUGUUGAGCGGUAAGCUUAUCUUCCCUAACACAUCUUCUCUUGUAGGGUGUACUCGAUCCUCAACAGUAAGCAGCAGCUGCUCCUCAAAAGGCUCAGCUGCCACAAACACCAAAUCUUCAUUCCAGAGUGGGUUAGUGGUUCGACUUGGGUUUAUCUUGGUCUUCAGAAUCUGAUUUCCAACCUGAACUUUUACAAAUACUUCUGGGAUGCGGCUUCUAUCAUUUGGCACAAUGUCCUGAGCUUCAAUCACAUUCACCCUCAGGUACCACAGUUUUGGUGAUACAUAGACUUUUGAUCGUAUGCUGAGAACACCCUCUCCAUAGACUGAGGAAGCAUCGGCGUGCCAUGCUUCUGGAAAGGCCUCGUCAGCUUGUGUUCCCAUCCAAACU
RNAcentral lists this unclassified non-coding RNA (2152 nucleotides) under Hevea brasiliensis (rubber tree). The record is from RNAcentral. Lineage: Eukaryota; Viridiplantae; Streptophyta; Magnoliopsida; Malpighiales; Euphorbiaceae.